GCGGCAGUUGGUCGAGUGGGCGGCAGGUCUGCCGGUCUCUCCGGGGGCGCCGGCUCUGCUCCCACCCGCCAGCGGCGGCGGUUGCAGCGGCGGCCGCGCGGUCUCUCCGGGAGGCGCGGCGUGGGCCGAGCGGCGGCCGCGGAGCUUCGUGCCCAGCAUGGCGGCGGCGUGCGCGGGCCCCGAGGCGGUCCGCGUGCAGGUGCUCGACGUGGGCCGCGCUCCAGCAACCUGCGACCUCGGCGAGGGCUCCCACGGCGUCGUGAGAAUUCCUGGUGUGUCUGAGAUUUCCAGGGCUGCGAAGGAACCAAAGAAAUGAUAAACCCUGUGGCUCCAGUAGCGAGACACCGUCUUUGAUUAGAUCAGGAAGCGCCUGUCAGGCUCAGGGACUUGCCUGAUGUUAGGGAUCAGUGGCCAAAGCUGGAACAAUUUGAGCAACAAAAUGAAGUCAUAUUAGACUCGAGCACAAAACAUAAAAUAAAGUAAGUAUCCAUGAGUCCGUACAGAUAGAAAUAAAUGACUGAGUAAAUAAAUAAAGUAGGGAAAGAGAUACAUCUCCUGUUCAGAAGAAUUCCAGACAAUUUAUGUAACUACUCCACCCUCAAGGGGAAUGUCAGCUCUUUACUCCGUAAGUGUGGGCUGCUUGUAAUGAUGUCUGUGGAGAGGACAGUAUGGAAAGUGGGGGGAAGUCCAUGUACAGUGGAGAAACUUGACACACACAACCUCAGGAAGGAGGUCAAGUUUAGCAUCAACAGUCUGAAGUCCUGUUGAUCACGUGUACCCUUGAUGUGAUGUGAGGAAAACAGCACGUACCUCUGUGGUCUUCCUCCCCCCAAACUCAUCAUUCCUGGUGUAAUCAUGAGCAGAACACCAGGAAAAUCCCUCCUACAAAAUCUUUUACUAGUGCUCCUCCAAACUGUCAAGGUCAUAAAAACCCAGGAAAGUCGCCUGUCAUGCGGCGAGCAGAACGAGUUUGAACUCGGUAACACUCUGGCACCGUGGCCAGUCGCCCGUGGCCUGCCAGCCCUUCAUGGGGAAGCUGAUGUCCGUGGCUCCCCUGACCAGGAGAUUAUGGAUGCUGAGGACUGGGGAGGGUGGCAGUGGACAAGAGACAACAGAGACAGACAGAGAGAGGGAGACAAAGACGGAGACAGGUUUUGUGACAAGAAGCCUGGGAGCAGGCCAGGGAGUACAGGACCAUCACACGGGGGUGCUCAUGGCUCAGAGUGGAUGCAGGGCGCCUGGGGCCACUCGGUCAUAUGGCUGCCUGAUGCCAGCCUCCCCUUGAGGCCAAGGGGCUGGACAACUUCCUGGUUCCUUCCAAGCUCUAAAUGACACCCCCACUUCAGCAGGAGUCCCCCGGCCCCCGUGAGAACCCAGGCCUGGACCCAGCCCCAGAAGGUGCCAGAAGUGCGUUCUGCCAUCAGCUCUGUGGCCACAUGGAGUGGUGUCCACUUCAGUGCCCCUGCCUGGGACGCUGGAGCCUGAGCCCUACCCCCUGGCUCUGCUCUGUAAAAGGGAUAGAUAGAGACCCCCAUCACAGGGCUGGGGACUGUAAGGGGACAACAGAUGGGCAGAGAUUCGAGGGGCACCCGGGAAGGAAGGUGCUGGGCAUGGGGAAGUGACUGAUGGGGACACAGCACGUCUGGGGAGAAGCCAGAGCAGAGACAGCUGGUGGCGUCUGCAGUCUUUCCUCCCACUCUCCCGCUGCGGGGGCCCAGAUGACCACCUGAAGACCCUCAGCCCUACUAUGCCCCAGCUGAGCUGUGCCUGAAAACCCCAGCCCCAGUGGGCUGUGUCUGCCCCUGAUCAAGGCAUCCCAGGGGCCAAGUGGCAGACUGGCCUGGGAGGACAGGACAGGGUGGAGGUCCCAAUUGUCUCUGAGCCAGUUCAUUCCAGGCCCACUCUGCUCCCUCCACCCAACAACCACGGCCUGGAUCUGGGUCUGCACGGCGUGGGGGUGCCUUAGGUGCGGGGUGCAGUGGGGGCCAUAGGAAACAACAGCCCCACCUGUCUGGCUGUCACCUGGCCUUCUUCCACCGCUGGGGCCUUCCCCCAACAAAACCCCACCCACCAACCGAUCCCACCUCCAUGCCUUUGCUCACACAGCACCUGGCCUGCACACUCUUACCCCUCCAGGCCUGGCCACGCCCUCCCUUCCCCACAGGCCACACCCUCCCUGCACCUGUGUGCUCAGCUCGGGCCCAGGACAUCUUCCCUGCAAGAGGCCCUGGGGACAGGGGUGGGCCCCCUCCCUGGGCCCUCUGGCGCUGAGCACCUCACCAAUGACAGAACAGGUGGGCAAAUCCAUCAUGCCCCACGUCUCCAAGCUCCGAGCACCAAUCUUGUGCCUGGAACGGUUCUAAUGCAGACACAGGAGAGGGAGUCAGGCCCUCUCCCAGAGCUGAUGUGUAGCUGGGGAGACAGACAGCGACCCAAGCAGAGAAGUAAAUAGGUGGUCUGGGGUCUGCAGGGCAGUUAUGACCCCUGGGGAGGCGUACUUCCAAAUAGGUGGUCAGGAAAUCCUCCCUGAGGAGGUGGCCUCUGAAUGAAGACCUGGAAGAGGUCAGGCUGCCUGGAUUCCUGGGGUAAGUGUUCCAGCAGCAGGUUGUAGGG
Molecule: long non-coding RNA, 2613 nt
Organism: Camelus dromedarius (Arabian camel)
Lineage: Eukaryota; Metazoa; Chordata; Mammalia; Artiodactyla; Camelidae
Exons: 4
Source: RefSeq, a predicted model, not a curated record